CAACUAACAAUCACCAAACAACUGGGUUAAUAUCUGGACAGAUCGGCCGUGCAAAACGUCUAGAAAACCCGUCUAUGUACCGGUGAGCAUUGUGCCGUACGAAGCCAACACCCAAAAUAAUUCUAAAAUCUGCUAUAAGUUUGUGUGGGGGCACAUCUGAUAAUGAAGCUUUAUGUCAAGAGUACUAAUAAGAUUUUGAAGAAAAUCUGACCCAGGCCUCCCUCUGGAGCUCUGAGGUAUCUACCAACGGCUGCUGUGCAAGAACAUGAUCAUCAAAAUCUGUCCAAUCGCCAAACUCUUCAGAAGUUUUGACUAGAAGUUUUUGGGAGCUUUCGGCAAGUACUGUUGCCGUUUAAGAGAGGAUUGGAAGAAAAUCUGACCCAGCCUUCAAAAUUUAAGCACAGGAUGACCAGCACCAACUGGUUCACAACAGAAUGUUGACUAUAAGUGUGACAGACAGUUUGAGAAACAAAAAAAAAUUGAACAGCAGUAACAACAGUUGAAAGGAAGCAGUACUCCAUCUUACAUACAGUAAUUUCAUUUUGCAAAUUCUCCCUCCAAUUGGGCACUGAAUUAUUUACCGACGGCUGCUGUGCAGAAACAUCAUCAUCAAAUCUUCACUAGAAACAAGCUGUUAAAUUGACCAACAAUUCAAGACAACCGGAAUACAAGUUUUGAGGACUUUCAGCAAGUAGCCUUUUGAAAGAGAUACUCACUACACAAGAGGUGAUCAGAGAGGUUUAGCUGUACCAGCGCUACAUAGUGCUUGACUGACUGUUGUUUGACUAUGUUUCUUGGUUUAAACAAUGCCCAAUUAGUCAGAGUAAACAUAAAGUUAGAAUAAAGUUAACUCAACCUUUAUGCAAAUGAAAAUUUACUAAAACACAAAAAAAAGAAUAGGGAUUUAACACAUCUUUAUUUUUUCCCUCUCGAUUGGACUAGUAACCUUUGUACAAAUUCUCCCUAAGAUUUCAAAUUUGAACAAGUUCUAAUAAUGUGGAAAGAUCCUUCAAGUUCUGUUUAAGGAAUUCCUCUUUGACUUAACCUUUUGG
Anneissia japonica is the source of this 1052-nucleotide long non-coding RNA. RefSeq lists it as uncharacterized. The transcript has 3 exons. The record is from RefSeq and is a predicted model, not a curated record. Lineage: Eukaryota; Metazoa; Echinodermata; Crinoidea; Comatulida; Comatulidae.